RNAcentral lists this small RNA (323 nucleotides) under Drosophila virilis. RNAcentral's name for it is "GJ26329". Lineage: Eukaryota; Metazoa; Arthropoda; Insecta; Diptera; Drosophilidae. The record is from RNAcentral.
CGAAGAUUAACUUGUGUAUAUAUAAAUUAAUAAUAUCACUUGUUCCUUAUUACGAGAUACACACUAACAUAAUUAAUAGAGUCACGCACAGAAAUAUGGAGCUCUUAAAUUAAUAAUAUUACAUAUGUUUCUGGCCGACAAUAACUCGUACGUAACUCGUGGACGUGAUGAUAACAUUACGAGGCAUGGUCCUCGAUUCGUACGGUCUGUCACCUGUUUGGGGUGUGUCCGUGCGUUAAUCAAACACACAGCAAUCCAUUUGUAACCCAAACACAGCCGUGCAGCACACACAUGACCGCGUCACGAGCGGCCACCAGAACGUG